AGAGUGAACGCUGGCGGCAGGCCUAACACAUGCAAGUCGAACGGCAGCACAGGGGAGCUUGCUCCCUGGGUGGCGAGUGGCGGACGGGUGAGGAAAACGUCGGAAUCUGCCUAUUUGUGGGGGAUAACGUAGGGAAACUUACGCUAAUACCGCAUACGACCUACGGGUGAAAGCGGAGGACCUUCGGGCUUCGCGUCAGAUAGAUGAGCCGACGUCGGAUUAGCUAGUUGGCGGGUAAAGCCACCAAGGCGACGAUCCGUAGCUGGUCUGAGAGGAUGAUCAGCCACACUGGAACUGAGACACGGUCCAGACUCCUACGGGAGCAGCGAGUAGGGGGAAUAUUGGAACAAGUGGGCGCAAGCCUGACUCCAGCCAUGACCGUCGUGUCGGUUAGGAAACGGUAACGGUCCGUUU
This 414-nucleotide ribosomal RNA is filed under the name uncultured soil bacterium. RNAcentral's name for it is "bacterial SSU rRNA". It matches the Rfam family "Bacterial small subunit ribosomal RNA", at positions 26 to 426 of the family's 1533-position model. The record is from RNAcentral.